CGUAAAAUAGAACCCUUGUGCCUCCUUGAGCAGCCGUACUCUCUGUUAGGGUUUGCCUCCUCGCCGCUUCCACGUUCGCUCAAGCUGUUCUUAUCCCACCUUCUAGGAUCUGCUCUCUAAACUGUGGUGCUCGUAGUCUAAGAGUCGAGGUCUUUCCGCUAGCUCUUUCCAAAUGUGAGAAUCCCUGACAGUGGAGAUGGUAAUAGGAAUGCUGCAGCUUGAUGGAUUGAACGGGUGUUGGGCCCCACAUUACUGGAGGAUUAUAUUAUUUAUGUUUUCUUGUCCGAUCAAGACCUAGUAAUUUUAAUUUUGUUCUUUUCAGUAUUUUGUUCUGGUUGGGUCAUGUGGGGCCCUUUCCUUGUAAUCCGGGUAUAAUGGACGUAUUGUAUACCUUUGUAUCCAAAACUCUGUACUCUCUGAAUAUUCAUGUAUGUGAUGA
Vigna unguiculata (cowpea) is the source of this 439-nucleotide long non-coding RNA. RefSeq lists it as uncharacterized. Lineage: Eukaryota; Viridiplantae; Streptophyta; Magnoliopsida; Fabales; Fabaceae. The record is from RefSeq and is a predicted model, not a curated record.